Molecule: ribosomal RNA, 429 nt
Filed under: Chloroflexota bacterium
Lineage: Bacteria; Bacillati; Chloroflexota
Description: Chloroflexi bacterium partial 16S ribosomal RNA
Rfam family: Bacterial small subunit ribosomal RNA
Source: RNAcentral
UGGGGAAUAUUGCACAAUGGGCGCAAGCCUGAUGCAGCCAUGCCGCGUGUGUGAAGAAGGCCUUCGGGUUGUAAAGCACUUUCAGCGGGGAGGAAGGCGAUAAGGUUAAUAACCUCAUCGAUUGACGUUACCCGCAGAAGAAGCACCGGCUAACUCCGUGCCAGCAGCCGCGGUAAUACGGAGGGUGCAAGCGUUUAUCGGAAUUACUGGGCGUAAAGCGCACGCAGGCGGUUUGUUAAGUCAGAUGUGAAAUCCUCGGGCUCAACCUGGGAACUGCAUCUGAUACUGGCAAGCUUGAGUCUCGUAGAGGGGGGUAGAAUUCCAGGUGUAGCGGUGAAAUGCGUAGAGAUCUGGAGGAAUACCGGUGGCGAAGGCGGCCCCCUGGACGAAGACUGACGCUCAGGUGCGAAAGCGUGGGGAGCAAACAGG